AUUGCACUUUGGGUGAUUCGAGAGCACGUUCCUCGGCUCUUAAAAAUCUGUUCUUAUCAGUUUAAUAUCUGAUACGUCCCCUAUCUGGGGACCAUAUAUUAAAUGGAUUUUUGAGAACGGGGGCCGAUUUCGAAGCUUGCUUCCGUCGCCCUAUCCAUUGACCCGAUAUGGCAGUAUCUUCGGGUACAGUGCACCACCC
Molecule: small nuclear RNA, 199 nt
Organism: Hyla sarda
Lineage: Eukaryota; Metazoa; Chordata; Amphibia; Anura; Hylidae
Product: U2 spliceosomal RNA
Exons: 1
Source: RefSeq, a predicted model, not a curated record